AGCCCAUGAUGAGGACAUCUUCUAAGCAGAUUGCUAAAUUGUUCCCAAGCCUUAUAUAAGGAUCACCAUCAAAUUGUGUGAAUGAAGCUAUAUCAUUCCUCAACUU
This 106-nucleotide small nucleolar RNA is filed under the name Theobroma cacao (cacao). RNAcentral describes it as "Plant small nucleolar RNA R71". It matches the Rfam family "Plant small nucleolar RNA R71". Rfam says of the family: R71 is a member of the C/D box family of snoRNAs containing the C (UGAUGA) and D (CUGA) box motifs. The record is from Rfam by way of RNAcentral. Lineage: Eukaryota; Viridiplantae; Streptophyta; Magnoliopsida; Malvales; Malvaceae.